This 429-nucleotide ribosomal RNA is filed under the name Chloroflexota bacterium. RNAcentral describes it as "Chloroflexi bacterium partial 16S ribosomal RNA". It matches the Rfam family "Bacterial small subunit ribosomal RNA", at positions 355 to 776 of the family's 1533-position model. Lineage: Bacteria; Bacillati; Chloroflexota. The record is from RNAcentral.
UGGGGAAUAUUGCACAAUGGGCGCAAGCCUGAUGCAGCCAUGCCGCGUGUAUGAAGAAGGCCUUCGGGUUGUAAAGUACUUUCAGUCGGGAGGAAGGUGGUAAGGUUAAUAACCUUAUCAAUUGACGUUACCGACAGAAGAAGCACCGGCUAACUCCGUGCCAGCAGCCGCGGUAAUACGGAGGGUGCAAGCGUUAAUCGGAAUUACUGGGCGUAAAGCGAGCGCAGGCGGUUUCUUAAGUCUGAUGUGAAAGCCCCCGGCUCAACCGGGGAGGGUCAUUGGAAACUGGGAGACUUGAGUGCAGAAGAGGAGAGUGGAAUUCCAUGUGUAGCGGUGAAAUGCGUAGAUAUAUGGAGGAACACCAGUGGCGAAGGCGGCUCUCUGGCCUGUAACUGACGCUGAGGCUCGAAAGCGUGGGGAGCAAACAGG